CGGCGGACGGGUGAGUAAUGUCUGGGAAACUGCCUGAUGGAGGGGGAUAACUACUGGAAACGGUAGCUAAUACCGCAUAACGUCGCAAGACCAAAGAGGGGGACCUUCGGGCCUCUUGCCAUCAGAUGUGCCCAGAUGGGAUUAGCUAGUAGGUGGGGGAACGGCUCACCUAGGCGACGAUCCCUAGCUGGUCUGAGAGGAUGACCAGCCACACUGGAACUGAGACACGGUCCAGACUCCUACGGGAGGCAGCAUG
RNAcentral lists this ribosomal RNA (256 nucleotides) under uncultured bacterium. Its description in RNAcentral is "partial 16S ribosomal RNA". It matches the Rfam family "Bacterial small subunit ribosomal RNA", at positions 96 to 353 of the family's 1533-position model. The record is from RNAcentral.